UGUGAUGUGCCUGAUAAAAGGAUAAUUUUGAUAGAAUUAAUAAUGUUUUUUACCUUCACAA
This 61-nucleotide transfer RNA is filed under the name Brontispa longissima. RNAcentral's name for it is "tRNA-Ile". The record is from RNAcentral. Lineage: Eukaryota; Metazoa; Arthropoda; Insecta; Coleoptera; Chrysomelidae.